Molecule: long non-coding RNA, 328 nt
Filed under: Fragaria vesca (wild strawberry)
Lineage: Eukaryota; Viridiplantae; Streptophyta; Magnoliopsida; Rosales; Rosaceae
Description: long non-coding RNA (FVES_LNC002083)
Source: RNAcentral
GUGCUUCCUUACGAUCCACCGCGCUUUGAUUCCACAUCUUUUGUAGCUUCCAUGGAACCACCAUCAAAUCAGAGGAUAGUAUGUACAUAAAGCUUAUAUCCAGACUCUCCCACAAUCAUCACAAACUCUAUAGGCUUUCAACCAUGUGGUGUGUUGUAUAUUUGUACAACUUCACCUAGGAGAGAGCCAAAAAUUAAUGGUUGCACUGAUCUUGUGCGCAGAUUUUAUCUUAACCCAAUGAUAAUUGACCGCAAUUGAUGUGUUGUGUAACAAAUGUGAAGAAAUCAAGAUUAUGACCUUCAUUCGUGUACUUGAGACUCGGAAUCAU